CAACACUACCCAAUUGCACAUCCCUUUCAUUAACAGAAAUCCUCAGAUGCUACGGGGGUAUAAUACCAUUCAACCAAAUGCCCCUGAGUUGAUGUUGCAACGAAAAGAUUAAUCGCAAUUUACACAUAUAUGUGCCGGGAUUUUCAUAUCUCAUCUCAAUUAUUCAUUUAAUCAGGCUUGUUUUUGAUACCCAUUAUUAACAAAAUUAUGAACAUUUCAGGUUUAUCAUUGACAAGCUGUUUCGGAUAAAUAUUUUGAAUAAACAAGAUAAAACAUGUCCCUGCAGCAGAAUUAGAUCUCAAACGGAGCUAUUGACAAACCAGCCAACAAACUAAUCAAUUCCAAUGGACAGGAACUCAACGAUGUUCACCAGGAAUGCAAUUCGAAACUAUAAUAAAUCUAAACUCAGCUUCAUAUAUGGUAUCUGAGUGCUCAAGACCAGGCUAUUUUGUUGUUCCAUAUUUGCGUGAUCAUCACAUCAUCAUGCUGGAUCUGAAAUCCAACUAUUCAAUAAGUGUAGCCUAUUCACUCUUGGAAGUCGGGUCUGACAUCUGCUUGCAACAAGAAAGUAUGCAUCCU
Molecule: small RNA, 579 nt
Filed under: Histoplasma ohiense
Lineage: Eukaryota; Fungi; Ascomycota; Eurotiomycetes; Onygenales; Ajellomycetaceae
Description: hypothetical lncRNA
Source: RNAcentral